GAGGUUGACACGAACUACGAUGGUCUUUACAGAGCCAGAAAACGCUUUUUUUCAUUCACUCCUGAGAGUCCAGAUAACGACGUGUUACAACCGGUGUUGUUAAGGAGCACUGAAACAACAUUUUAAGGAACACCACGAACUCCACGAUGUCCUUUGCAC
Long non-coding RNA from Corythoichthys intestinalis (scribbled pipefish), 159 nucleotides. RefSeq lists it as uncharacterized. The transcript has 3 exons. The record is from RefSeq and is a predicted model, not a curated record. NCBI's taxonomy places the organism in Eukaryota, Metazoa, Chordata, Actinopteri, Syngnathiformes, Syngnathidae.